Long non-coding RNA from Myotis myotis, 1559 nucleotides. RefSeq lists it as uncharacterized. The record is from RefSeq and is a predicted model, not a curated record. The transcript is spliced from 2 exons. NCBI's taxonomy places the organism in Eukaryota, Metazoa, Chordata, Mammalia, Chiroptera, Vespertilionidae.
UUUCUCUAGGUGACACGGCACCAGAGUUAAGUUAGGGUUUUUCAAAAUGCUGACUCGCCGAGCUCAAAAGGUUCGCCGUCACUGGGCUAGGCUCAGUCUGUCUUCCUUCCCUUUCUCCUCUGAAAGGCUGGAGCAGUGCUGCACGUAGGUUUGUCUCGAUCUGCUCUGGGGGCGGCUCCCGUGGGCAGACGCACCUUCUCCUUCUCAGAGUGCAUACGGAUGUGAUGUGUAUGUUCACCUAAGUGGGAACACAGUCGUCAGUGGUAGCCCUCAGCCUCCCCAGGCUCAUACAGCCUGGUCGUAAGAUGUUUCUGAACUCAGUGCUGCAGGAUCAGCGUGGGAUCUGGCUUCCUAGGAUGCUGGAUCUUCUACAGACAAACCCUCAGGCCAGCGACCGUGCGUGUCCUGCACACACAGAGCAGGGUCUCUUGCCUGGCUCCUGCAGAGACGCUCAGGAACCAGAAGGAACGGUCUCAGCCAGCUCCCUAGACCCAGCUCUGGGGUGCCUGAGCCAUAUAGUUGAGAUGUCAGAGCUCUGCCUGGCCCUUUGCCUCGGUCUCUCUCAGGUGGCCAGUUGCUCUGUUUUCAGUGAUUGACCAUGGAGAGGGCCAAUAGCCAUUGACCUUGGUUUUGGCCAGUUUGGGGAGGUUAGCAGUUGCCCUGAACUCUUGGCCCCUUUGCAUCAUUCUACCAGCUUUAGGCACCCAUGAGGUCAAACCAGGUUCUGUUUGGAAAAGAGUAUGCUGUGGGGUAAUGGUAGCAACAGCAAUAAUGUUAUGAAUGCCUUUUAUCAGUUGUAGCACUUUCUCCUUUGCAAAGCAUCUUCACUGACUUUGUGUUGCUUAACCUCAGUCCUCCCCAAAGGGGAGGCAGGCCCAUCAUCAUUCUGUAUCUGUGAUGAUGAAGUCUGAAGAACUCUGCAAGCUGCGGAUAGGUUCUUUGCACUUGGACAAACUGUUUCUGAAUUGCUGAGCGCUUUAAAACGUAGUUCUUUUACCACCUGUAUCCCCACUUUCGUCUUCAUGAAGCCCUCUUGGUUCAUUGACUUCUGCUCUGGUUUGGAUCUGGAUUCCAGCUAACGAAGGGGCCACUUAGAGCCGAGUCUGUCUGCUCUGACGUCGUUUCUACAUCCUGAAGCCUGUUUAGGGUUACUGAGUCACCUGGGAUCGAGGCUGAACGCCGGGAAAUUUUGAAGAUGAUGUACUUUAUUUCCAGUGGAGGAAACUUGUAUGCUCUUUCAUCUCAGUGAGAAGUUCCAGUUUGAUUUGCUGUCACCGCUGCUGGUGCCGCGAGCUGCGGGGAGUGGGAGACAGCUUUAGCUCAGCAACACUUUCCCUGCCGCUUGCUCUAAGGACACUAUUUAUGAAUCUAAGAUAGUGAUUAUCCUAAACUGUUAAAAUUAAACCCCAUUCACAACUCGUUGAUUUGUUGCUAAUUCCGGAGAAAAACAUUUCCAAUCACUUCAGUUUUGUAAAUUAAUGACUUUAAAACACGUCCAAGGGAAAGGCCAAGUGUGAGACUUCAGAGUCCCGCUAAAUAAAUACAGGUGUGUCUCCGUU